RNAcentral lists this ribosomal RNA (406 nucleotides) under uncultured bacterium. RNAcentral describes it as "partial 16S ribosomal RNA". It matches the Rfam family "Bacterial small subunit ribosomal RNA", at positions 30 to 526 of the family's 1533-position model. The record is from RNAcentral.
AUUGAACGCUGGCGGCAUGCCUAACACAUGCAAGUCGAACGAGUGGCGGACGGGUGAGUAAUGUCUGGGAACCUGCCCGAUGGAGGGGGAUAACUACUGGAAAGGGUAGCUAAUACCGCAUACCAUCGGAUGUGCCCAGAUGGGAUUAGCUAGUAGGGGGGGUAAAGGCUCACCAAGGCAACGAUCCCUAGCUGGUCUGAGAGGAGGACCAGCCACACUGGAACUUAGACACGGUCCAGACUCCUACGGGAGGCAGCAGUGGGGAAUUUUGGACAAUGGGCGAAAGCCUGAUGCAGCCAUGCCGCGGGUAUGAAGAAGGCCUUCGGGUUGUAAAGUACUUUCAGCGAGGAGGCGUUACUCGCAGAAGAAGCACCGGCUAACUCCGUGCCAGCAGCCGCGGUAAUUC